UUGCAGAGGAAGAUGGAGAAUUUUGUGGGUUUUUGUGCCCAAAUUCCUUUAGUUAGGCUAUCUUUGUAGCUCUUGUCCCUAAUUUUCUCACAAAUAGUUGCUAGUUUUUUAUUUGUGUUCCCAUUCCUCCAUUGUAUGGUGUAGUUAGUGCCAUAAUCCAGUAGGUUGUUUGCACUAGGUCUCCCCUCUAUUACAUAUUUUCAGAAAUGUGAGUUUGUACUAUUUUGGAUUUGGAUGUCCAUUAGUGCUU
RNAcentral lists this long non-coding RNA (250 nucleotides) under Zostera marina. RNAcentral describes it as "long non-coding RNA (ZMAR_LNC002225)". The record is from RNAcentral. Lineage: Eukaryota; Viridiplantae; Streptophyta; Magnoliopsida; Alismatales; Zosteraceae.